UUUUUUUCCCGUUAAAUUCCCAUCAGAUUCAAGAUAUUUCUGCUAAUUUUUCUUUUAACUACCGAAGUUUUUGUUUGCGAAUCUUUUUUACUUUAAAUCUUGUUUUCAGUUUGUUCUAUGAUUAUUCUUUGAAAUUUUCCUGCUGAUUUCCCUCUUUGUUAACUCAUUUCUCUGUGGUCAAGGCGGUGGUGCCGGCGCCUCUGCCAUCGGCGGUGUUAUCCCUUUUUCUUCC
Molecule: long non-coding RNA, 232 nt
Filed under: Theobroma cacao (cacao)
Lineage: Eukaryota; Viridiplantae; Streptophyta; Magnoliopsida; Malvales; Malvaceae
Description: long non-coding RNA (TCAC_LNC001469)
Source: RNAcentral